GCGGCUCAGUGGAACAGCGGAACAGUAUUUGCCUUGCAUGCAGAAGGUGCUAGGUUCAAUUCCUGGCAUCUCCA
Molecule: transfer RNA, 74 nt
Filed under: Sphaerodactylus townsendi
Lineage: Eukaryota; Metazoa; Chordata; Lepidosauria; Squamata; Sphaerodactylidae
Description: tRNA-Ala
Source: RNAcentral